Myotis daubentonii (Daubenton's bat) is the source of this 10997-nucleotide long non-coding RNA. RefSeq lists it as uncharacterized. The record is from RefSeq and is a predicted model, not a curated record. Lineage: Eukaryota; Metazoa; Chordata; Mammalia; Chiroptera; Vespertilionidae.
AAAAUAAUAAUAGCCAACCAUUUUGGGAAGAUCCCCUUGGUCCCAGAAUCUGUGAUAUAUUCUUGACAUCCAUUUGAUCUUCAUGGAAGGCUGUGAUAGAGAGAUAUUACUCCCAAUUUUUAAAAGAGGGAAAAAUGAAGGUCAGAAAAGGUUAAAUGACUUUCUCAAGGUUGAACAGCUAGAAAUAUGUGGGACUUUCCCAAAGUCCAUACACUUAACCCUAAUAUUCUCUAGUUUGCCAUGAUACUAAUAUCACAUACACACAUGCACAUGCACACACAGUUGCAUGGUUAAUACUGAGUUAAACAAUGUAUUUCAGAGUUACCUACUGUUAGAAUUUCUCAGAGCCUUUAUUGUGACAAUGCGCAUUGUGAACCUAUGAGAGAGGAAAAGUGCUCCCAAUUUCCCAAGCCCAUUUGACAACAAAUUCUUUUCAUCAAAGACAUUUUUAUGAAACCAGUUCCCUUUAAAAUAAAACACACUUAUGGAAAUGAUGUUCUUUAAAGACUACUUCUCUGAUGUAGAAGAAGCAAUAUUUUCAUAUCGGGCCAAAUUAGUAUGCUGAAAAUAUUCAUGCGCAUCAAACUUGGCCAACUUUGUAUAUAUUCCUUUUCUUUUAUUCUCAAUGAAAAGAAAUCCCCUCACUGCCUUGGGCAUUACUUAUUUUCAUUAAUGCAUUUCUCAGAAAUCACCAUGAACUUGCAAAGUGACUUCUUUGGGAACUAUAAACUCUCCUGAUUUUUUAAAAACAUAUUUUUAUUGAUUUCAGAAAGGAAAGGAGAGGGAGAGAGAGAUGGAAACAUCAAUGAUGAGCGCGAAUCAUUGAUUGGUUGCCUCCUGCAUGCCCCACAUUGGGGAUUGAGCCUGCAACCCGGGCAUAUGCCCUGACCAGGAAUUGAACCUGGUCAAGGCUGUACAGCUAGAAAUACAGCUAGGUCGAUGCUCAACCACUGAGCCACGCUGUCCAGGCUCUCCUGAAUGUUAACUCUUUAUAACCAUCUGUGCAAAACUACAGGGACUAGCCACAUUUGGCUAUUUAAGCUUAAACUAGUUCAAAUUAUAUUAAUAAAAAAUGUAGUUUCUUAAUUGCACUAUCCACAUCCCAAAUGCUGAAUAGCCACAUGUAGCUGGUGGUUACUGUAUUGGACAGUGCAGAUAUAGAACAUUUCCAUAGUCAACGAAAGUUCUAUUGGACAGAACUACUCUAGAAUCUAGUCUGGGAGGAUGGGGUAAGGGUGGGAAAGUAGUGAGCAAAACUAACCAACAGUGAAAUAAGAUCCAGUUAGCCAUAGAAACCAAAGGUGACCCUGAAUCAUAGAGAACAAAAAAAUAAAGACCCAAAGCAAAUAUCUCUGUGUUUGCUGGAAUGGUGACAGCAUCUACCAGUGCAAACAAGUUUGAUGCUGUCAGUGGAGUCUUGGUGUGGGAGGAUUUGAUUAUUCUUAUCUCCAAACCCCACAAAUACCCUACAGUCAUUAAUAUGAAUGUUCCUUCCAAGGAGGUGGCUUUCAGGUUGAGAAUACUGGCAGUGGGGGGGAGAUCAUGAAAUGGUAAGGGAAAGGCAAGAUCCCCAAAUAGGAAUGGCUGGCACUGCCCACUCUCUGCUCCAAAAGGCAGUAGUACCAUUUUCUUCCUUCUUUUUAAGACCACCUUCCUGAAUAAGUAGUUCACCCAUAGGCAACCUAUUUCCCUAUAAGUCAGUUGUUGUCUAUCACAAUCUGGCUUCUGUUCACAUCAACGCACUGAAAAUGCCCUUAAAGGACAUAGUCAAAUUCAUCCUGGCCUCCGGGACUUUGCUUUAGUGGUUCCUUCUUUCUAAAAUGCACUUUGUAUCUUUAUGAGGCUGGCUCCUUCCAGUCAUGUGGGUCUCAGUUCAAGAAGUCGCCUUUGCUAACUGAUCACACUGGCUCCAGUGGCUCACCUGCCUCCCAUCACUUCCCAGUGCAUUAUCUUCCUUUUAUCUUCUUCUCAGAACUUACACUGUCUGAAAUUACUGAAAUUAUAUUUUUAAUUUAUUAGUUUACUUUUCUAGUAUUUUACUUUUCCUGCCAAAUAGUAAGCUCCAGGGGAGCGGGGACCGAAUCUGCCAUGUGCACCAACAUAUUCCUAGAGCUAGGAGGUGCCUAACGUAUGUAUGUGACUCCAUAAAUAUUUGUUGAAUUAAAUAUAUUCAGAUUCCAAAACCUUUUAUUUGACUUUAUGAUUUUUGACACAGGUGACCCGCUCUCUACUUUUGGAAAAGAUCUAUUCCCUUGUUUUCUGUAAUAGUUUUCUUCUUCUGCUUUCCUGAGUACUCACUCUUCAGUUCUUAUUCUCCCCAUCCUUCUAACUGUGUGUGCUUCCCAAGAUUAAAUCUCAGCUCUCCUCUCUCUUUACAUGAUCUGCCCAAAGCUUAGCCCCUUGAACGCUCAGUUCAGAGAUGUCAUAAGGAUACAGGUAGAUACAGGUUGUUUUCUUUCUGGUCCUGGCUUCAGACUGUGAACAUGUCACUCAAAUUCUCUAUUCUUUAGUUUCUUCACCUUUUAGAUGGAGACAAAUACCAACUUCCUAUUGGUAUUGUGGGAAUGGAGUGGAGAGAUUCAAAUAUUUAAUAAUUCUAUAAUUUAUGGAUGGUUUAUACAUAAAGGCACUGUGCUAAGCACUUCGCUUUUUUUUUUUUUUUUUUUUUUUUACUUUUAAUGCUCAUUCUAACCCCAUGAGACAGUUACUACUGUUAUCUCCAUUUUGCAGAUGAGGAAACUGAGGUUCACAGAGGUAGAGACUCUUGCUUGAACUCACCUUCCUGGUAUGGGUCUGAGCUGAGAUUUGAACUGCUGUCUGGCUGAGAACAGAGUUUGGGUCUUUAUCAUGAUACUCUAUUGUCUUUUUUGGACAGUGUUAUGAAAAGAAUGAGGCACUGAAUGAAGUAAAGGAAUCAUUACUAAAUUUGUGACAACUCAAAGAGAAGUAUUUAGAGUGGUUAGUCUGGGAGCACAAUGAUACCUAGCCAACAGGGGUGUUUUCAAGCCAUUUUACCCUGAGUUAAAGUCAUACCUGAUCGUUUCUAACCAGGGACUAAAAUUCAAAGAGGAUUUGGUGUCUGAUCCAAAUACUUUUUAGUCUAAGAGAUGCUCAUUUGGUGCAAACUCCCAUCAUAAGAGCACAGAGAGCUCAAUGCACAGACUCCAGGUCACCCAGGCUCUUAGCUAGGAGGGGAGCUCCCGUUCAUGCAUCCUUUCAUCCACAUGUGAGCUUUUUGAGUCCUGUGUUUCUCAUAAUCACAUGGAUCUUCCAUCACCAACAUAGAGACAUCCCCAAAAAGGGUCCUUUUCCUCCUGGCCUUCCUGGUGACGCCCUGCAACCUUCUUAGGCUGAUUCUUCUAAUCCAGCCAACAUCAACUCCCAUCUGGGUCCCAGACAUGUCUGGGAGAAAAAAUUGUACAUCCUAGAUGUUAGUGGAAGCAGGUGUGGAGCCAGAAAGAACAAGGCGAGAGCUGCUGAGAAAUGAUGCAUGCAGAGGUCCGUAGCAGUGCUAAGGAAGGAGCACAUGAGAGUGUGUAUCUGGCAAAAGAUCCCAUUAAGCAUCAAAUCAUCAGCUCUCUGACGUCUUUGCGCUGCUUCAUUGAGCACGUCUGUGUGUGUGUGUGUGCACGCACGCACGUGUGCACGCGGUUGUGUGCAUGCCUGUCCUCUCUCUGCCCUGCUCUCUGUGUCUCAUUCAGUGUCCAGGUUUCUUUCUCAUACCCUUCCUUCCCCUUACUCAGACUCCCAGUCCCUUUCAGACUCCCUUUUUCUUCAAACCCGUCUUUCCAGGUUGCUGAAAGACAGAACUGACAAGAGGACAGUCCCGGACCAGGAAUGGUGCCACCUCUCUGAAAGCCUCAUAGUGACAAUAACAAGUGGUAUUUACCUAAGAGCUAUAAACACACCAACUGUUCUCUCCUUGACUGUUUAGUCAUGUCAUUCAUAAUGAAUGGACUUUUCCAAUGGCAAACAGACAGAGAAGAAGAAAAACAAACAGUGUAUUCACGUAAGAUAGAGUCUGGGAUCCCUGCUGAAGCUGUGAAAACAGAGGACAUCUCUUAAAUUUGACCUGAGGACACUUCUCACCUUAAUGGGGGUACACGGGAUUCUGGGCCCAUGUUGGACUCUGUCCUGAGGUUCCCCGUGAGAGAGAAAGCAAAAAGUAAAGGAUGUGGCUAUCUGGCAUGUACAGGGGGAAAAGUGCUCCACCUAUUCAACAGCUGUUAGCUAUGUGUUGAUCACAACCCAGGCACCUAGCACUGCACCAGCUGCUGCCACAGUGCCCACGACAGAGUAAAGGCAAAGUCAAGUGACAGGUCCAAGUUCACAUGGCAGGUCAGUGUGAGAGCCCGCUUGACUUCCAGUACUACCUCACCAUGCUGCCUCCAUCCCUGAUGCCCAUUCUUUCUUUGGGAAGGAGAUAUCUUUAAGUCCCAGGACUGAAAAACAGGCUCAUGGAGUAAAAAAUCACACCAUUUUAGUUGGAACAACCCCAGUUCCAAAUCUCACACCUUCACUUACAAGCUGGGUGGCCUUGGACAACUGACUUAACUUCUUUAAGCCUCAGCUUCCUCAUGAACAAGCAGGCAUUCUAAGUUGGGACUUAUGCUUUGUGGGGGAGAAGCCCAAUAACCAGGUAAUGCAUGGCAGUGUGAUCAAUAAUAGAAAAAUGCAGGCAGAUGGAACUUGGGUUCCAGUCAUAGCUCCGCCAUUGAGUGGCCGUGGGCCCUUAGGCAAGUUUCUUAAACUCUCUUGCUUUGGUUUCUUCAUCUGUAAAUCAACAGGUUAGACCGGGUCAUCUCUGAGGUUGUUCCAAAUAGAAAGUUCCAGAAAUUUAUGAAAAUAAGUUUGGAUCUAGCCCAGCAUUUAUUUCAAUCUUUAUAAUUUUGUCAAACUAUUUAUUUAUUUUGAGAAUCAAUUAAAUUAUAUUUAUUAAAGUGACUUGUAAAUUCUUUCUAUUUUAUUUUUUAAUUGAGAGAGAGAGAGAGAGAGAGAGAGAGAGAAAGAGAGAAAGAGAGAUUUGUUGUUCUAUUUAUUUAUGCAUUCAUUGGUUGAUUUAGUAUGUGUGUGCCCUGAAUGGGAUCAAACCCUCAACUAUGGUAUACUGGGACAACUCUAACCCACUGAGCUACCUGGACAGGGCUAAAUUCUUUUUUCUAUUAAAUGAAUUUUAUGACUUUUGAAUUUCAAAUUAUACUCAAUGCCCCAGGGACCUGUUUAUUUUUGUGUUUUCAGCAAAAUACUACUUCCUGAUUCUAAGAAAGCUUACUCAAAGAAGGAACUUCAUUCAUCUGUUCAAACCUUCCUUCUUUGAGUAAGCUUUCUUAGAAAUAGGAAGUAGAAUUUUGCCCCAAACACAAGAUUCAAGACUCAUGAGAGGUACUGACUUUUCUUGAGUCUGAUUGGUCCCAGUAAUAAUAAUGGUGGAACCACACAUUGGAGUCUGUCCAGCCCCUGCAGCAGGAAUGCAUGCAUGUCCACAAAUAGCACUGGUCUUAGGGAGUAUUUAUGUGGUGUGUGAGUGGUGCAGAGUAAGGGAUUCGUACACAGAGAAGAGAAAGGUUAAUUUUUGGUUCCGACAACCAGGAAACUCUUCACAAAGGCGUGGGAUAGUCAUUGGCUCUGGAAGGAAAGAUGAAAUGAGACCAUGCAUAUACAGUGCCAGCAGCUACCGUUUGUUGAGCACUUACUAGAUGCCAGGGGCUCUAUUAAGGGUUUUAUAUAUGAUGCCCUUUUGCAACUUCACAACCACCUUGUGAAGUUGGAUAUUUGGUCUGUGACUGGCCACACGAGAAGCAGUCAGCACGUGGGAGUUGUCAUUACAUGGUUUUGCUUUUACAGAGACAUGGUGUUGGGUGGGCUGUGCCAGGUGACUGCUGCGAGCGCCCAUCAGUGAUGCUGGGCUGGACCCUCCGGGUGCUGCCUCUGCCUCAUUCUCUCGCUGGAGAAGAUACCACCACCACAGAGCGAAGUGCUUCUCCCAGUGAGCUCUCCCUGUCGGGGUUUUCUUCUCUCUCCAUCCAAAGAACUUGUGUUCCCCUCUUCAAUCUCAGUCCCAACGGAUGUUUGGUAGGCGAGAAGGCAAAAAGAAUUUCCAAAAAAUGCAUUAAAUUUUAAAUCAGAAAACUAACUAGACUUGAGCUCCAGUUCUCCCACUUUCCAGACAGAGAAUGGAUGUCCAUUUUUCACCAUUGAUGCGUGAAAUUCUUUGGCAAAUCAUCGAAUCUCUCCAAGCCUAACUUCCUAUAUCUGAAACAACUGGAAAGAGAAUGAAUAAGGAAUGAAAUGUUCACUGAGCACCUACUACACACCAGGAGAUUCACAUAAGCUGUCUCGACGUUUCAUCUCGUACCCUAUAAUUAUUGUCACAGUUGAUAAAAUGGAGGGUCGGGGGAGUUAAGAGACUCACCCGAGAUUAUAUGGCCAUGAAGAACUUGAAGGCAGGUUUUCUGAAACCAAGUUAUAUGUUCUUUCUAUUAUAUCAACCAGCAAUUUCAAAGGCUGCCCUAGAAUCGCCUCCCACCUGCCCCCCUGGAUAUAUGGAAGGACAAAAUCUCCUUUUUUCAUAGGUAAACAUCUCUUUGCAAAUUGCCCACUACAAUGGGGACAGGUACUUUUCAAUAAAGUUUCAAAGUCUAUCCUAUCUCCAUCCUCAGGAAACUUAGCACCUACCUUUUGUGGAUAAUUUGGAGUAAUGUGAGCCUCUGGCUUUUUCCUGAGAUUGUUUCUUCCCUAAAUCCAUAAGCUUGAAUGGACACAAAUACAGCUUUGGUCCCUGUAAGCAAACGCAGUGACAUAACCACAUGACUCACCCACCAGUCAUUUCCAGUGGCUUUCCAAAGCAUGGGCGUGGCAUGGCCCUGACCACCUGUUCUGUUAUUCUGUUUCCCUGGAAACUGGCUCUUAGGACAUACGUGGGAGGACUAGUCUACAUGUCAGUCACACACUGUGUCAUUCUGGUUGGGUAGAUUGGAGGAAGUGGGAGAGGGGGAUUCAUGACUGCUGGGAAAGAAGGAGAUCUUUUUGCUAGGAAAAUUGAUCAUUGGGCAACCAAUUGAUUUGCCAUAAAAUCUGUUGAGAGCCAGGUCCCUGAAACAUAAAAAGCGAUGAGUACAUGGGACCUUAGAGGCAAAACCAAGGUUGGAACACAUUGCCUGACCAGCAUAAGUGGUGAAAUAGUUGCUAUUAUGACUGUUUAGAAAAACCUGGAGUUCUGCCAUAGGUUUAAAACAUGGGUCUCUGCCAUUAAUCCUAUCUUUUGGUAAAGGACAUUGAAGUUGUUGAGAUUGAAAGGCACCUCUUUCCAGAUCUCCUAUCCCAUAUAUUGGGAAUUCCACCUUGAGUUUUUGUCUUUAGCCUAAAGCUUUUGAUCUCGUGAUCAAAUAUAUUAGCAGUUAACAUGUAAAUAGCCCAGGUAGGAAUAAUGCAUGAAAGCAGAGAUAGGCUUCACCGUUGUAAUACUUCAAUUGAUAAGAAGGAAAAAAUCGGGCUACUGUAUUGAGAAGAAUUCUAAGUUUCAGGUAGGAUUCAGGGGGAAAGUCACGGGGGCUGUGACUGAUUAGCAGUGUCCUUGAUAAGAAGUGAUAGGACAGAUACUUUGCAGACACAUUGGUUGACCCUCCAAGCGGUGCAUUUGUUUACUCAUUCAGUGGUGGUACCCAACUUGAUUUCUUAUCACUAUUGCUCCUCAGGGCACCUUUCACUCCCACCUGACAGUCACUAUUAUUGUAGUCUAUACCUUACCCAGCUAGUUUCUACUUGAUAUUUCUAAUCAGUCCAGCCCACAUCCCCGUUCAUGGAGCAGCAUUGGUAGCUUCGAUGGUCUAUUUCAGAUCCUGCUGGAAGGAAACAGGGGUAGGCCUCGCAAGACAGUGUUUGUAAAGUCUAAAGUUGUGUCCAGGAAUCUCCUAGGCCUUCACGUUCACUCAUCACUUACUCACUGACUCACUAAGAGCAACUUCCAAUCCUACAAAAUACACCCAUGGUCCUCAUCUGGAGCCCAAAAGUGUUUUUGGCUGUUGGUGACCUUGUGACCGUUGGCAAGGGGCUGGAUGUGGCGCUCGGUGUGAGGCGAAGGCUUGGUGAUGCCAGCACAUCUGGUGAAGCCAGCACUUCAAGGCACUCCUCAGACUCCUGGAAAUCCUCACCAGUAGAGAUGACUCAUGGUUUCGUAAAAAGCUGCUGAUCUCAUUAGUUUCAGAAACAAUUGCAUGACUGGGCAGGGCCUCUUAGUAGAUACAGUGCUGACUGGGGCCCCCAGAACAACACCUCCACUUCUCCGAAGGUGGUGAAAUAGCCAGAAACUGGUUCCUAUCCAAACCCUGGAAACCACCGUUGGUGAGGUCAUUCCAUACAUGCCAAGACCUUUAUGAGAUUACCAUCUGCAAGUCUGAAAAAAAUCACUUUUCCACCAAAUGUUCUAGAUGAUUGAUGGAGAAAAAAAUUCUCCAAUUGUGUCAACUGUCACUGUUAUUAUUAAAGGAAUAUGUGCUAUGUCAUACCUAUACACAUAUACACACAUUCAAAUUAUUCAGAUGGAGGAAAAUCUUAGUCUUCCAUAUUCAGUAAAAAAUGCCCUUCUGAACAACAAAAAGAUGAAAUAAAGGAAAAGAAAUCCUAAAACAACAACAACAUUAAUUCACAGACCCAGCGAUGAUCACUGUUAAAAAACUUUGAUUUUACUUUCCCUUCUGGUUUUUUUAAAUGAUUGUGAAAUAUUCUAGACAUAAAAAAAAUGUGGUUUUUUUCCUUAUUGAGAAAUAAAGAAUGACAAUAACAAAUACAGUUGGAGACCACUGGGUGCCCUACCCUGAGUCCUAUUACCUCCCUUCUCUUCUGAAAGAUAAUUAUACACUCCUGAAUUCUCAUGCUUAAUUUUAUUUUUUAAAAUUUUUUUUUUAUUGAUUUCAGAGAGGAAAGAGAGGGAGAGAGAAACAUUAAUGAUGUGAGAGAAUCAUUGAUUGGCUGCCUGCUGCACACCCACCACUGGGAAUUGAGCCCACAGGCCAGGCAUGUGCCUUGACCGGGAAUCGAACCAUGACCUCCUGGUCCAUAAAUUGAUGUUCAACCACAGCCAUGCCGGUCAGGCUCAUGCUUAAUUUUAUACUUUUGCUACCUAUGUAUCUACCCCUAAGUUGUAAGUAGCCAAGUUUUGCACAUUUUAAAACUUUAUGUAGGUGGUUUUAUGCUGUCUGUAACAUUAUGUAAUUUAAGUUUUACCAAUAUUCACAUAUGCUCCUCUCUUACCUUCAUUUUAAGUGCUAAAUGGUAUUCUAUAAUAUACAUACGUCUCAAUUUAUCCAUUCUUCUACUGAUAGAUAAUUAAAUCCUUUCCAAAUGUUUGUUCCUAUGAAAAAGCUGCACUUUUUUCUUGUGCACAUGUUGGAAUUUCUCCAGAAUUCUGUAUUGAAGAGUACGAGUGUCUUCUGUGCUCCGAGAUAAUGCCAACAUGUUUCCCAAAGCAGUGGUGUCAAUUUAAACCUCCCACCAGCAGGCGUGAGGGUCACCAUUGUUCAGUGUCCUCACAAACACUUGGCAUGCCUUUACUUUGAAUUGUUAUUGAUAUGAUGGAGGUGAAAUGGUAUCCCAUUGUUAAAAGUUACAUUCCACAAAAAUUAAUGAGGUUGAGCACAUUUUCACUUAUUUUUCAUCUUUUCAAUUUUUCUUUACUGCAAAUUGCCUGUUAAUAUACUUGUUCCAUUUUUCAUAACAUGGAUUUUUUGUAAACAUUUUUAGUAUACUCUGGAUAUGAACCAUUUGGCUAUAUAUUUUGUAAGUACCUAUACUUUGUACAUAGUUUGUCUUUUAAAAAAACCAAGAGUGUUUUUUAGAGCAGUUUUAGGUUCACAGCAAAAUUGAGGGGAAGAUAUGGAGAUUUUCCAGAUAUUCCUUGCCCCCAUACAUGUAUAGUCUCCUCCACCAUCAACAUUCUUUACCAGAGUGUAUACAUGUUCCAACUGAUGAACCUACAUUGACACAUCAUUAUCACCAAAGCCCAUAGUUUACCUUAGGGUUCACUCUUGGUGUUGUACAUUCUAUGGGUUUAGACAAAGGUAUAAUAGCAUAUAACCCUGAUCUUUUUACUGCCUCUUCUAGUGUUGCUUUUUCCAGAUGUCACGUACUUGGAAUCAUAUAGUAUAUCACCUUUUCAAAUUAUCUUCUUUCAUUUAGUAAGUGCAUUAAACUCUCUUCCAUAUCUUUCCAUGGUUUCAUAGCUCAUUUCUUUUUACCUCUGAAUAAUGUUCCAUUGUUUGGCUAUACCACAGUUUCUACAUGCACCCACUGAAGCACAUCUGGGUUGCUUCCAACUUUUGGCAAUUGUGAAUAAAACAGCUAUCAACAUCUAUGAGCAGGUUUUUGUGUAGACUCCUUUGAGUAAAUACCAAGAUACAUGAUUGCUGGAUCAUGUGGUAAAAAUAUAUUUACUUUGGUAAGAAAUUGCCAAACUUACUUCCAAAGUGGCUGUACCAUUUUGCAUUCCCAUUGGCAAUGAACGAGAGUCUCUGUCCACACCCUUACCAACAUUUGGUGCUAUUGGUGUUCUGGAUUUUGGCGAUUCUAAUAGGUUUGUAGUGGUAUCUUACUGCUUUAAUUUGCAUUGCCCUGAUGACUUAUGAUGUGGAGCAUCUUUACAUAUAUUUAUUUACCAUUCCUAUAUCUUCUUUGACUUGGACUUUGACCCAUUUUUAAGUCAGGUUAUUUGUUUUCUUAUUUUGUUUUAAGAGUUCUUUGUGUAUUUUGAAUAACAGUCCUUUAUCAGAUGGGUUUUUUGCAAAUAUUUUCUCCCAGUCUGUGACUUAUCUUCUCAUUCUUUUUUUUAAUUAAAUCUUUAUUGUUCAGAUUAUUACAGUUGUUCCUCUUUUUUCCCCCCAUAGCUCCCCUCCACCCGGUUCCCACCCCACCCUCUGCCCUUACCCCCCCCUCCACUGUCCUCAUCCACAGGUGUACGAUUUUUGUUCAGUCUCUUCCCGCACCCCCCACACCCCUUUCCCCCC